ACUUCAGACCUCUAACAAUCACCGAUCUUUGACUAAUCAUUCUGAAGUAAUACAGCUUUAACUUAAAACAUGAAGAGCAAUGGUGUUGUCGCUGCUGAACAUGACAUCUCCCGCUGUUUUGUGUUUUUCCAGUCUACUUGUGCCCACUUCUUCCUCUAAAUAAAAAUUUGUCAGUGUGGCUCUCUGUAUGUCUAAUAAAAUGCAGCCAAUAACUACACGUGUCGGUAAUUAAUCAUGAUGUUACCUAAAAAAAGUAGUUAGUCCAUUAAAUCUCCACCGUGUGUGUCAAAUUGCUGAACAUGACGCCUGUCCAUCUGUACCUACAAAAUAGCUAGAACAUCGGUCAGUGAAAUUUAAGGAAGAUGGUGACGAGCUUCCUAGACUUGAGCUGCUGGGAGAUCCCACAGCUAGAGCUCAACGACUCCAGCAAGUCACUAUUCCGGAAUGUGAUUGCGUUCGAGCGGACGUACACGUACUUGAAUACUAUCUUUUAUGAUUCUGAAUCUUCACAGGAGAGGAUUAAUGACAUACAAACAAUUUAC
Molecule: long non-coding RNA, 542 nt
Filed under: Triticum aestivum (bread wheat)
Lineage: Eukaryota; Viridiplantae; Streptophyta; Magnoliopsida; Poales; Poaceae
Description: long non-coding RNA (TAES_LNC006450)
Source: RNAcentral